This 254-nucleotide ribosomal RNA is filed under the name uncultured bacterium. RNAcentral's name for it is "partial 16S ribosomal RNA". It matches the Rfam family "Bacterial small subunit ribosomal RNA", at positions 524 to 776 of the family's 1533-position model. The record is from RNAcentral.
GACGAACCGUGCGAACGUUAUUCGGAAUCACUGGGCUUAAAGCGCGUGUAGGCGGGACGGCACGUCGGUCGCUGAAAUCCCCCGGCUCAACCGGGGAACGGGCGCCGAUACGACCGCCCUGGAGGGGCGUAGGGGGACCUGGAACUUCCGGUGGAGCGGUGAAAUGCGUUGAGAUCGGAAGGAACGCCCGUGGCGAAAGCGAGGUCCUGGACGCUUACUGACGCUGAGACGCGAAAGCCAGGGGAGCGAACGGG